GUUUACGGCCAUACCACCCUGUCUGCCCCCGAUCUCAUCAGAUCUCGGAAGCUAAGCAGGGUCGGACCUGGCUAGUACUUGGAUGGUAGACUGCCUGGGAAUACCAGGUGCUGUAAGNN
RNAcentral lists this ribosomal RNA (119 nucleotides) under Sinocyclocheilus grahami. Lineage: Eukaryota; Metazoa; Chordata; Actinopteri; Cypriniformes; Cyprinidae. The record is from RNAcentral.